GAUGAACGCUGGCGGCGUGCCUAAUACAUGCAAGUCGAGCGAACAGAUGAGGAGCUUGCUCCUCUGACGUUAGCGGCGGACGGGUGAGUAACACGUGGAUAACCUACCUAUAAGACUGGGAUAACUUCGGGAAACCGGAGCUAAUACCGGAUAAUAUAUUGAACCGCAUGGUUCAAUAGUGAAAGACGGUUUUGCUGUCACUUAUAGAUGGAUCCGCGCCGCAUUAGCUAGUUGGUAAGGUAACGGCUUACCAAGGCAACGAUGCGUAGCCGACCUGAGAGGGGGAUCGCCCCCCUGGGAACGAGAACGGGGCCCAACCCCCAAGGGGGGGAAGCGGAGGGAAACCUUCGGAAAGGGGGGAAAGCCGAAGGGGGAAACCCCGGGGGAGUAGGAAGGGCUUUGGAAGCGUAAACCCUGUUUUUUGGGGAAAAAAAAAGUGGUAAGAACCAUGCCCGUUUUGACGGGACCCAAACAAAAAACCCCGGGUAAACCCGGG
RNAcentral lists this ribosomal RNA (496 nucleotides) under uncultured bacterium. RNAcentral's name for it is "partial 16S ribosomal RNA". It matches the Rfam family "Bacterial small subunit ribosomal RNA", at positions 28 to 507 of the family's 1533-position model. The record is from RNAcentral.